Paramuricea clavata is the source of this 785-nucleotide non-coding RNA. The record is from the annotation of a GenBank genome assembly. Lineage: Eukaryota; Metazoa; Cnidaria; Anthozoa; Malacalcyonacea; Plexauridae.
AAAGUGUAAGGAUAGUGUUUAAAGUUGCUUCAUGUGUAGAAGCUGAAUUACUUUAGUUUAUACACUGUAAUGUCGAUAUCACAUGUUGAUAUGACUUUAAUACUAGCAACUUGCAAUAAGUGGUCUGUCCUGCUUGUUUAUAAUACUUUAGAGUUUGGACAUUAGAACAUUGUAAUUGCCUGACAGAGACUGUUAGGGCCUGUUUGUAUGGAAGCCGGGCUGGCCCGCUUAGCGAGACAGCCCGGUAAGGUAGAUACGCAGGAUGAUUUCUCUUGUGUUUAUUUGAGAAAAUUUCAUCCUGCUUACCGGGACAAUUUUGUUGUUUUGACAUUGUUUUGACAGUUGUUAAAAAUAGCUUGCGGCAGUAUCGUUGAACAUUCAUCCUGGCAACUGGGCUAUCCUGCUUGUGAUUGUUUAUAUGGAAAAAUUUCCAUCCUGGUCUCUGCAACAGGGCCUCCCGCUUGUACAUAGAAACAAUUUUAAUUAUAAUUUUUACUAUAAAAAUAAGUAGACAGUGAGAUCUCACUUACCGGGCUGUCUCACUUAGCGGGCCAGCCAGUUUUGAUAUAAACAGGCCCUUAAAAGCUGCAAGUUUCCUUAAAGCAAUAUCGUCUAUAUCACAGAAUACAGUUUCUGUAGUGACAUACUUUGUGUGUUUUCUGUCUUUAAAGUGUCUUAUGUUUGUAAUAUUUUUGUACAAUACAUUUUUGAAAUUGUUGAUACUGGUCUCAUUGUAACUCAGUUAUUCCUUCUCAAGAAAAAUAAAAAACAAAGCUGUGUGGGUG